GAUGAACGCUGGCGGCGUGCCUAAUACAUGCAAGUCGAGCGAACGGACGAGAAGCUUGCUUCUCUGAUGUUAGCGGCGGACGGGCGAGUAACACGUGGAUAACCUACCUAUAAGACUGGGAUAACUUCGGAAAACCGGAGCUAAUACCGGAUAAUAUUUUGAACCGCAUGGUUCAAAAGUGAAAGACGGUCUUGCUGUCACUUAUAGAUGGAUCCGCGCUGCAUUAGCUAGUUGGUAAGGUAACGGCUUACCAAGGCAACGAUGCAUAGCCGACCUGAGAGGGUGAUCGGCCACACUGGAACUGAGACACGGUCCAGACUCCUACGGGAGGCAGCAGUAGGGAAUCUUCCGCAAUGGGCGAAAGCCUGACGGAGCAACGCCGCGUGAGUGAUGAAGGUCUUCGGAUCGUAAAACUCUGUUAUUAGGGAAGAACAUAUGUGUAAGUAACUGUGCACAUCUUGACGGUACCUAAUCAGAAAGCCACGGCUAACUACGUG
This 497-nucleotide ribosomal RNA is filed under the name uncultured bacterium. RNAcentral's name for it is "partial 16S ribosomal RNA". It matches the Rfam family "Bacterial small subunit ribosomal RNA", at positions 28 to 507 of the family's 1533-position model. The record is from RNAcentral.